Molecule: microRNA precursor, 153 nt
Filed under: Amborella trichopoda
Lineage: Eukaryota; Viridiplantae; Streptophyta; Magnoliopsida; Amborellales; Amborellaceae
Description: MIR8565 microRNA precursor family
Rfam family: MIR8565 microRNA precursor family
Source: Rfam by way of RNAcentral
CCCUCACCCAUGUGUGUAGGACCCCAAAGGAUCACCAUUACAUUUGGCACAAAUCUUUAGAAAAGUUAUCACAUGUGUGUGGGACUGACUUUUCUAAAGAUCUGUACCAAAUUUAGUAGUGAUCCUUUAGGGUCCUACACACAUGGGUGUGGG